RNAcentral lists this ribosomal RNA (222 nucleotides) under uncultured fungus. Its description in RNAcentral is "partial small subunit ribosomal RNA". It matches the Rfam family "Eukaryotic small subunit ribosomal RNA", at positions 629 to 864 of the family's 1831-position model. Lineage: Eukaryota; Fungi. The record is from RNAcentral.
GACGUAACAUGACUAGUCCGACAAGGUUACUUGUCGUGAGCUUUUCACGUUUGUCAUCCUUCUGGAAACUGAAAUUGGCCUUUACUGUGUUGAUUUCAAGCUCCAGAUCUUUUACUUUGAAGAAAUUAGAGUGUUUAAAGCAGGCUUUUGCUAUGAAUACAUUAGCAUGGAAUAAUAAUUUAGGACUUCGGUUCUAUUUUGUUGGUUUCUAGGACUGAAGUA